GGCCCUGCGGCGGCUACACAUGCAAGUCGAGCGGUAACAGAUCCAGCUUGCUGGAUGCUGACGAGCGGCGGACGGGUGAGUAAUGCAUAGGAAUCUGCCCGAUAGUGGGGGAUAACCUGGGGAAACCCAGGCUAAUACCGCAUACGUCCUACGGGAGAAAGGGGGCUUCGGCUCCCGCUAUCGGAUGAGCCUAUGUCGGAUUAGCUAGUUGGUGAGGUAACGGCUCACCAAGGCCACGAUCCGUAGCUGGUCUGAGAGGAUGAUCAGCCACAUCGGGACUGAGACACGGCCCGAACUCCUACGGGAGGCAGCAGUGGGGAAUAUUGGACAAUGGGGGGAACCCUGAUCCAGCCAUGCCGCGUGUGUGAAGAAGGCCCUCGGGUUGUAAAGCACUUUCAGCGAGGAAGAACGCCUAGCGGUUAAUACCCGCUAGGAAAGACAUCACUCGCAGAAGAAGCACCGGCUAACUCCGUGCCAGCAGCCGCGGUAAUACGGAGGGUGCAAGCGUUAAUCGGAAUUACUGGGCGUAAAGCGCGCGUAGGUGGCUUGAUAAGCCGGUUGUGAAAGCCCCGGGCUCAACCUGGGAACGGCAUCCGGAACUGUCAAGCUAGAGUGCAGGAGAGGAAGGUAGAAUUCCCGGUGUAGCGGUGAAAUGCGUAGAGAUCGGGAGGAAUACCAGUGGCGAAGGCGGCCUUCUGGACUGACACUGACACUGAGGUGCGAAAGCGUGGGUAGCAAACAGGAUUAGUCCUCU
RNAcentral lists this ribosomal RNA (754 nucleotides) under Vreelandella aquamarina. Its description in RNAcentral is "bacterial SSU rRNA". It matches the Rfam family "Bacterial small subunit ribosomal RNA", at positions 32 to 788 of the family's 1533-position model. The record is from RNAcentral. Lineage: Bacteria; Pseudomonadati; Pseudomonadota; Gammaproteobacteria; Oceanospirillales; Halomonadaceae.